CUCCUCCGAGCGUCCAUAGCGGCGAGGAGGUUUGGCACCUCGAUGUCGGCUCAUCGCAUCCUGGGGCUGAAGAAGGUCCCAAGGGUUUGGGAGUUCACCAAUUAAAGCGGUACGCGAGCUGGGUUUAGACCGUCGUGAGACAGGUCGGUCCCUAUCUUCCGUGGGCGUACGAUAUUUGAGAAAAUCUGCCUCUAGUACGAGAGGAUCGAGGUGGACGAACCUAUGGUGAAUCAGUUGUUGUGCUAACAGCAUGGCUGAGUAGCUAAGUUCGGAAGGGAUAAACGCUGAAAGCAUAUAAGCGUGAAGCCUGCUUUAAGAUUAGAUAUCGUUCUCUAAGCAAUUAGAGUGAAGACAUCUUAAAGACUAUGAGAUUGAUAGGCCAGGUGUGUAAGUCCGGUAACGGAUUCAGCUAACUGGUACUAAUAUGUCGAAAAGCUUGAUCACC
RNAcentral lists this ribosomal RNA (445 nucleotides) under Planctomycetes bacterium RIFCSPHIGHO2_02_FULL_40_12. RNAcentral describes it as "bacterial LSU rRNA". It matches the Rfam family "Bacterial large subunit ribosomal RNA", at positions 2487 to 2925 of the family's 2925-position model. Lineage: Bacteria; Pseudomonadati; Planctomycetota. The record is from RNAcentral.